UGAAACGGAGGAGACGUUACAGCAACGUGUCAGCUGAAAUGAUGGGCGUAGACGCACGUCAGCGGCGGAAAUGGUUUCUAUCAAAAUGAAAGUGUUUAGAGAUUUUCCUCAAGUUUCA
Homo sapiens (human) is the source of this 118-nucleotide unclassified non-coding RNA. Lineage: Eukaryota; Metazoa; Chordata; Mammalia; Primates; Hominidae. The record is from Ensembl.